Small nucleolar RNA from Argentina anserina (silverweed cinquefoil), 84 nucleotides. The record is from RefSeq and is a predicted model, not a curated record. NCBI's taxonomy places the organism in Eukaryota, Viridiplantae, Streptophyta, Magnoliopsida, Rosales, Rosaceae.
UCUCUGUGAUGAUCAAAACGAUGACGAGUCCGAUCCAUUCAUUCAUUAAAUCGUGACGACAAUUGAGGCAUUUGUCUGAGAGGA